AAACUGGAAGAGAAGCAGGAGGAGAAACUGGAGGAGAAACAGACCUGCAGCAAAGGAGGUCCUUCCAGUCAGGGUUCUGGAGAUUGAGUAGACAGGAUCAAGAUCAGAUCCAGGACCUGGAUCAGAUCCAGGACCUGGAUCUGAUCUGAUCUGGAUCUGGAUCAAAUUUCUCUCAGUUGUUCUGACACAAACAGAUUCAACCGUUUUGAAAUAAAAAUCUCUUUCUCCAAGUUUGAAGGAGAAACAAUUCCUCCAGAAUCUUCAGGAUUCUCAGAAGAUGAAACUGGAUCAUAAAACACAAAGUCACCUCAUCAGAACCAGAACUCUCUCCUGGAGCGUGUUCAGAGUGUUCCAGUCCUGAUCCAGUUUCAUCUGGAUGAUGAUGAUGAUGAUGAUGAUGCAUCUCUCAGGAGGAUCUAUCUUGAUAUAAUCUCCUUCAAAGGAUCAAAGUCUUGAUUCUUGAUCAUUCAUCAGGUUCUGUUGAUCUUUUUGAAACUUUAAUCCUCUGAUCUGAUCUGAUCUGAUCUGAUCUGAUCACGUUCAUGUAUAAAACACAAUUUCAUCAAACACUUUCAUCUUUCUGCCUCCUGUGAGGCAUGGUGGUGGGAGUGUCAUGAUGUGAAUCCUCUGAGUUUGUGGUUCAAAUCCUGAAGGAAACUUGAUUCAGACGUAAAGAUCUGGACUUCAGAGAAGAAAAAAUCCAAAUCUGGAACCGAGGAGAACGAGGAGGAGAACGAGGAGGAGACACAAGGAGGAGACACGAGGAGGAGACACGAGGAGGAGACACGAGGAGGAGAACGAGGAGGGAGGAAGGUCCGACUGGAGGUCAGGAAGUUCCUCUGACCCGUUUAGAACCAACCACCAGAACAACCGGGCUGAAGCUGGGCCGGAUCCUCCUCACUGUUGUGGAAGCAGGGCUCCUCCUCUCUACUCCUCCUCUCUACUCCUCCUCUCUGCUCCUCCUCUCUGCUCCUCCUCUCUACUCCUCCUCUCUACUCCUCUCUGCUCUUCCUCUCUACUCCUCCUCCCUGCUCCUCCUCUCUGCUCCUCCUCUCUACUCCUCCUCUCUGUGUUGGGUUCCUGGUUGCCCUCUCCACGCCCCUGGUUUCCUGCUCACCUGCAUCUCAUCUUGUCAUCAGCCUGGAGCCUUCAUCAGCCCACCAUCACCUUCAGUCAUCGUCAGUUCGUCUGCUUCACGUGGUCACCACCAUCCACCACUCCACGCCAACCGGUCCGGACUCCAGGUCGCCACCAUCACUGCACCACGCAAACCCACCCGGACGCAAGAGAACCACCAUCCGCCACACCACAUUAAAACUCUUCUAAAUCCAUCUCUGUCUCCCGCCUGCUCUUGGGUCCAGAACUCUUACAAACCUAA
This 1378-nucleotide long non-coding RNA is filed under the name Oryzias javanicus (javanese ricefish). Its description in RNAcentral is "lncRNA (ENSOJAG00000017164.1)". The record is from RNAcentral. Lineage: Eukaryota; Metazoa; Chordata; Actinopteri; Beloniformes; Adrianichthyidae.